Molecule: ribosomal RNA, 386 nt
Filed under: uncultured bacterium
Lineage: Bacteria
Description: bacterial SSU rRNA
Rfam family: Bacterial small subunit ribosomal RNA
Source: RNAcentral
AAUCAACGCUGGCGGCGUGCCUAACACAUGCAAGUCGAACGCGAAAGUCCCGCAAGGGAUUAGUAGAGUGGCAAACGGGUGAGUAACACGUGGGUGACCUGCCUUCGAGUGGGGGAUAACGUCCCGAAAGGGACGCUAAUACCGCAUGACAUCCUGCUUUUUAACAGGCGGAGAUCAAAGCUGGGGAUCGCAAGACCUAGCGCUUGAAGAGGGGCCCGCGUCUGAUUAGCUAGNGGUGAGGUAACGGCUCACCAAGGCGACGAUCAGUAUCCGGCCUGAGAGGGCGGACGGACACACUGGGACUGAGACACGGCCCAGACUCCUACGGGAGGCAGCAGUGGGGAAUUGUUCGCAAUGGGCGCAAGCCUGACGACGCAACGCCGCGU